Molecule: ribosomal RNA, 253 nt
Filed under: uncultured bacterium
Lineage: Bacteria
Description: partial 16S ribosomal RNA
Rfam family: Bacterial small subunit ribosomal RNA
Source: RNAcentral
UACGGAGGAUCCAAGCGUUAUCCGGAUUUAUUGGGUUUAAAGGGUGCGUAGGCGGGCUUAUAAGUCAGCGGUGAAAGUUCUCGGCUCAACCGAGGAAUUGCCAUUGAAACUAUGAGCCUUGAGUGUAGAUGAGGUGGGCGGAAUUCGUAGUGUAGCGGUGAAAUGCUUAGAUAUUACGAAGAACUCCAAUUGCGAAGGCAGCUCACUGGGCUACAACUGACGCUGAGGCACGAAGGUGCGGGGAUCAAACAGG